Long non-coding RNA from Bufo bufo (common toad), 160 nucleotides. RefSeq lists it as uncharacterized. The transcript is spliced from 3 exons. The record is from RefSeq and is a predicted model, not a curated record. Lineage: Eukaryota; Metazoa; Chordata; Amphibia; Anura; Bufonidae.
CGGUGGUUUCAUUCGGUGAUUUUGAGCCACAACCAGGUGUGGAUCUAAACACAAAACAGGUUCAUAUCUGUCCCUUAUACCUUAUGUCUGUGGAGGCUCCAAUCCUGGUUUUGGCUCACAAUCACUGAUGGAAAUCACUGACCAAACACUGACGUGUGAA